UCUUAGUUAAAUUAAAAAAAAAAAUUGACAUAUUAAAAAAAUUGACAUAUAUGAACACGAAAUACUAAUUUUCAACCUUCUUAGAAAAUUUUUUCAAAAAACUAUCAUAGCCUAUAAUGUUGGAAAUAACUUUGGGCUGGCGCAUACCCUGUGAUCUAUCCCAACGAACAAGAUUCAAAAUCCCAGCAGGAGGGGUUCGUAGCAAAUGACAGUCCAAACUCGCCUCCACUGCCAAAUUAGCCAAUUUGUUCGCCACCCUUUUAGCUUCUUUGUAGCAAUGACUAAGGGUCACCUGCCAAGAUUGAUUCAAUAUCCCACCACAAUGAACAAUUGAGUUCACAAGCCUUCCUAUCUUGCACAUCCUCAACCGAGAGCAACUUCACAACCACUUUGGAAUCCAAGUUCACCUCCACCUUCCAAUAGCCCAGACUCCAAGCCGAAGUAAG
Molecule: unclassified non-coding RNA, 446 nt
Filed under: Hevea brasiliensis (rubber tree)
Lineage: Eukaryota; Viridiplantae; Streptophyta; Magnoliopsida; Malpighiales; Euphorbiaceae
Source: RNAcentral